GAUGAACGCUGGCGGCGUGCCUAAUACAUGCAAGUCGAGCGAACGGACGAGAAGCUUGCUUCUCUGAUGUUAGCGGCGGACGGGUGAGUAACACGUGGAUAACCUACCUAUAAGACUGGGAUAACUUCGGGAAACCGGAGCUAAUACCGGAUAAUAUUUUGAACCGCAUGGUUCAAAAGUGAAAGACGGUCUUGCUGUCACUUAUAGAUGGAUCCGCGCUGCAUUAGCUAGUUGGUAAGGUAACGGCUUACCAAGGCAACGGUGCAUAGCCGACCUGAGAGGGUGUUCGGCCACACGGGAACUGGAACACGGUCCAGACUCCUACGGGAGGCAGCAGUAGGGAAUCUUCCGCAAUGGGCGAAAGCCUGACGGAGCAACGCCGCGUGAGUGAUGAAGGUCUUCGGAUCUUAAAACUCUGUUAUUAGGGAAGAACAUAUGUGUAAGUAACUGUGCACAUCUUGACGGUACCUAAUCAGAAAGCCACGGCUAACUACGUG
This 497-nucleotide ribosomal RNA is filed under the name uncultured bacterium. Its description in RNAcentral is "partial 16S ribosomal RNA". It matches the Rfam family "Bacterial small subunit ribosomal RNA", at positions 28 to 507 of the family's 1533-position model. The record is from RNAcentral.